UUCAGAAGGUAGUUUUCAACACUAGUCAGCCAGUGGCUCUGAUUCAAACCUCUUAACGCGGUUCAACACCACCGAAUUGGGAAUCUUCUACCUUCUACUUCAGAGACGGCUAAGAUAUUGGCUGUACUGCUGAAUAUGUAAAACAUUCCAAGAUGAUAUGGUAAUAAACAGUUCAGAUUGAUGGAAUCAAAGCAGCUUCCUGGGUGCUCUUUCAAAAAAGAACCAACAAAUGACGAUGUAUAAAGAUUUGUUUGAUAAAGGUCCAGUGAAACCUAGGAGAGGAAAAAACUUUGGGAGUUCCAAUCGACUCUUUAGAAUGGCCAAAACUUCCCUCGAAAGCAACUUGGAGAGUUUCAUCUGUUGAAUCAUAUUUCUUCUAGUACAGUGACCGGAUGUAUAAUAGUCAUACAAAAUAAAGAAUAGCGAGAUUUUCGAUUGUUUUUACAAAGGAGGGACCUCUUUAGCUGAAGAGAACCCCCUUUUUGUGCAAAUAAGUCGCAAAUUCCUAUGAGCGAUUAAUUUGCAAACAUUGUGGAUUAUAUAUCCGGUCUCUGUACUCUAUAUAAGGGGUGUAACAAUGAAAUAAGUUUAUCGACCUGGGAAAGCAAUAUUGACCUGGGAAUACUGUGUAACAACUUGAAAUAUUAAAUACAUAAUUACAGUCAGUGUUGAUGCAUUUCCCUCUUUACGUUUGCAUCCUCAUUACUGUAGUUUUUAGUAGUGAUUUUUUUUACUCUAAAAUUAAAGCUCAUGAAAAGCUACUUCUGGUGUUAAUAGCUAGCUGUCAAGAAUUGUAUUGCUUCGUGCGUUUAGAGCUCCUGAACUUCCCAGUUUGCGUGGAAUUCUGCCGUUCGUUAGCUAUCCCCGUGUUUAGAGCUCCUAAACUUGAGAGCUGGCUUGGAGUUCUACUGGUGGCUCUCCUGGGGGAGAGGUAUUAGUCACCUUACUCUUGACCUUGACAGUAUGCCUGGAGCUUUACCGCUGGCUAUCUUUUGAAGGAGAUUAUCGAGGCCAUCUUACUCUUGAACUUCACAGUUUGCUUGGAGAACUGUCUCGUGUGGGAGAGUGUAGAGGCCAUGUGAACUUAAUAGCUUGCUUGGUGCUCAGUCACUGGCUAUCUCUUGUGGAAGAUUAUCUUUUGUGAUAUUGCAGAGUAUCUUACAGUGAAAAGUCCAAUUUACUUGCAACUGCAGGGUGCCAGUUUGCUUCGAGGUGUCACUGGCCAUCUUGCACCGUUGUGAGAUGGAGAAAAUAUGAAAAUACCAGUGUGCCGAAGUGUUCGAUGUUCUUAUA
This is a long non-coding RNA of Macrobrachium nipponense, 1293 nucleotides long. RefSeq lists it as uncharacterized. The record is from RefSeq and is a predicted model, not a curated record. Lineage: Eukaryota; Metazoa; Arthropoda; Malacostraca; Decapoda; Palaemonidae. The transcript is spliced from 3 exons.